GUUGGGUAGGGGAGCGUUCUGUAAGCCGUUGAAGGUGACCUGUGAGGGUUGCUGGAGGUAUCAGAAGUGCGAAUGCUGACAUAAGUAACGAUAAUGCGGGUGAAAAACCCGCACGCCGGAAGACCAAGGGUUCCUGUCCAACGUUAAUCGGGGCAGGGUGAGUCGACCCCUAAGGCGAGGCUGAAAAGCGUAGUCGAUGGGAAACAGGUUAAUAUUCCUGUACUUGGUGUUACUGCGAAGGGGGGACGGAGAAGGCUAGGCUAGCCGGGCGACGGUUGUCCCGGUUUAAGCAUGUAGGCGGAGCGACUUGGUAAAUCCGGUUGCUUAUCAACGCUGAGGUGUGAUGACGAGUCACUACGGUGGUGAAGUAGUUGAUGCCAAGCUUCCAGGAAAAGCCUCUAAGCAUCAGGUAACAUUAAAUCGUACCCCAAACCGACACAGGUGGUCAGGUAGAGAAUACUCAGGCGCUUGAGAGAACUCGGGUGAAGGAACUAGGCAAAAUGGUGCCGUAACUUCGGGAGAAGGCACGCUGGCAUUAGGUAAAGGGACUUGCUCCCGGCGCCGAAGCCAGUCGCAGAUACCAGCUGGCUGCAACUGUUUAAUAAAAACACAGCACUGUGCAAACACGAAAGUGGACGUAUACGGUGUGACGCCUGCCCGGUGCUGGAAGGUUAAUUGAUGGGGUCAGCCUUACGGCGAAGCUCUUGAUCGAAGCCCCAGUAAACGGCGGCCGUAACUAUAACGGUCCUAAGGUAGCGAAAUUCCUUGUCGGGUAAGUUCCGACCUGCACGAAUGGCGUAAUGAUGGCCAGGCUGUCUCCACCCGAGACUCAGUGAAAUUGAACUCGCUGUGAAGAUGCAGUGUACCCGCGGCAAGACGGAAAGACCCCGUGAACCUUUACUAUAGCUUGACACUGAACAUUGAGCCUUGAUGUGUAGGAUAGGUGGGAGGCAUCGAAGUGUGGACGCCAGUCUGCAUGGAGCCAACCUUGAAAUACCACCCUUUAAUGUUUGAUGUUCUAACUCGGCCCCAUAAUCUGGGGUGAGGACAGUGUCUGGUGGGUAGUUUGACUGGGGCGGUCUCCUCCCAAAGAGUAACGGAGGAGCACGAAGGUUAGCUAAUCACGGUCGGACAUCGUGAGGUUAGUGCAAAGGCAUAAGCUAGCUUGACUGCGAGAGUGACGGCUCGAGCAGGUACGAAAGUAGGUCUUAGUGAUCCGGUGGUUCUGAAUGGAAGGGCCAUCGCUCAACGGAUAAAAGGUACUCCGGGGAUAACAGGCUGAUACCGCCCAAGAGUUCAUAUCGACGGCGGUGUUUGGCACCUCGAUGUCGGCUCAUCACAUCCUGGGGCUGAAGUAGGUCCCAAGGGUAUGGCUGUUCGCCAUUUAAAGUGGUACGCGAGCUGGGUUUAGAACGUCGUGAGACAGUUCGGUCCCUAUCUGCCGUGGGCGUUGGAAGAUUGAGAGGGGCUGCUCCUAGUACGAGAGGACCGGAGUGGACGAAUCACUGGUGUUCGGGUUGUCAUGCCAAUGGCAUUGCCCGGUAGCUAAAUUCGGAAGAGAUAACCGCUGAAAGCAUCUAAGCGGGAAACUUGCCUCGAGAUGAGUCUUCCCUGGGGCUUUAAGCCCCCUGAAGGAACGUUAAAGACUAUGACGUUGAUAGGCUGGGUGUGUAAGUGCAGCGAUGCAUUGAGCUAACCAGUACUAAUGAUCCGUGAGGCUUAACCUU
RNAcentral lists this ribosomal RNA (1727 nucleotides) under Yersinia enterocolitica. RNAcentral's name for it is "partial 23S ribosomal RNA". It matches the Rfam family "Bacterial large subunit ribosomal RNA", at positions 1223 to 2925 of the family's 2925-position model. The record is from RNAcentral. Lineage: Bacteria; Pseudomonadati; Pseudomonadota; Gammaproteobacteria; Enterobacterales; Yersiniaceae.